Molecule: ribosomal RNA, 620 nt
Filed under: Stenotrophomonas geniculata
Lineage: Bacteria; Pseudomonadati; Pseudomonadota; Gammaproteobacteria; Lysobacterales; Lysobacteraceae
Also listed under: 1 other name
Description: bacterial SSU rRNA
Rfam family: Bacterial small subunit ribosomal RNA
Source: RNAcentral
AGCUUGCUCUUUGGGUGGCGAGUGGCGGACGGGUGAGGAAUACAUCGGAAUCUACUUUUUCGUGGGGGAUAACGUAGGGAAACUUACGCUAAUACCGCAUACGACCUACGGGUGAAAGCAGGGGACCUUCGGGCCUUGCGCGAUUGAAUGAGCCGAUGUCGGAUUAGCUAGUUGGCGGGGUAAAGGCCCACCAAGGCGACGAUCCGUAGCUGGUCUGAGAGGAUGAUCAGCCACACUGGAACUGAGACACGGUCCAGACUCCUACGGGAGGCAGCAGUGGGGAAUAUUGGACAAUGGGCGCAAGCCUGAUCCAGCCAUACCGCGUGGGUGAAGAAGGCCUUCGGGUUGUAAAGCCCUUUUGUUGGGAAAGAAAUCCAGCUGGCUAAUACCCGGUUGGGAUGACGGUACCCAAAGAAUAAGCACCGGCUAACUUCGUGCCAGCAGCCGCGGUAAUACGAAGGGUGCAAGCGUUACUCGGAAUUACUGGGCGUAAAGCGUGCGUAGGUGGUCGUUUAAGUCCGUUGUGAAAGCCCUGGGCUCAACCUGGGAACUGCAGUGGAUACUGGGCGACUAGAGUGUGGUAGAGGGUAGCGGAAUUCCUGGUGUAGCAGUGAAAUGCG